Molecule: long non-coding RNA, 1768 nt
Filed under: Lepeophtheirus salmonis (salmon louse)
Lineage: Eukaryota; Metazoa; Arthropoda; Copepoda; Siphonostomatoida; Caligidae
Description: uncharacterized LOC121119559
Source: RNAcentral
CGUCAAAUGUAGGAAAUCGAACACUGAUAACAAAAUAAUACAUAUUCGUAUUUCGUCCAUGUUCACUCUCCAUGGAACUGACAAAGUAACUAACUUAACACAAAACAUAUAUUUCUACCUACACUCUCAAGGAUGCGUAAAUAGAUUGAUAGAAAGAGACAGGAAUCCAGAGGGGGGAAACACAUGAGGGAUAUUUAAAUUUGUAGAAUGAGCAGAUCCCUUUCCUUCAUAAAUAAAUAUAAAGAAGUGAUGUGAUCAAUGCGAUGAGGAAGGAAGUUGAAAAUUGGUAAAACUUACAAUAUUUCCCAUAGUCUUUCAAACGGCCAACCACCAACUAACCCGCCAAACAUUCAUCAAUUUGUCGUUCAUAAGGAUUUGUAUUGUAUAUAAUAUGUUUUAUAUUUAUGUCUAGUCGUAUAGGUUAAUGGAUUUUAAGUUCCUAGAAUUCCUUUCGUCGUCUUUUUCAAUGAAAAAACAAAUGGAAAAGAUUGCUAUACUACAUAGAACAAAAAAAAAAAACACUAUUUGUAUUCAAAUGCUAAGGAAUGGAUCCAUCGUAAACGCGCAGAGGGCCAUCAUCCAUCAAUGUGUAAGAAAGACUCUCACAUAGAAAAUUGAUUUACUCCAAGUCGUGCUGAAUAAAUCAAGGAGCCACCUUCUACAGUCUUAAUAUGUAGAUAUUUCCCUGACGAUGAUGAUCCCUUCAUAAAUUAUUAUUCGAAUCGUGAUAGGAAUAUUUAACUCCAAAUGUGCGUCGCUCCAAUAAAUCAAUGUUGAGGAAGAAACGCACACACAAACAAACUAAGAUUGGAUUGCAGGUGGGACUAAUAUACCUCCUUCGUUCCUUGAAGGCGAAGUCCCUUGGAGGAUGAUGGUUCGUCCUUCUUCCGUUUACGAAAUAGAUUCAUGACACAAUUGAGACUUUUUAAAGGGACAUUCCCUUUCACAUUGUGGUGUCUGGUAGUGGCGUAGAAAGAGAAUAACUUUAGUGAAGUGGAAGGAAGUAUGUGUGUGGGGAAUGGAGGGGGAAUUGUUUUUGAUAUCGAUUUUUUCCAGCUGAUUUAACUUUAUAUAGAUAUCCAAUUGUGUAUGUAUAUAUAUGUAUGUGUGUCUAAGGGGACUUCAUAUGGCUUUCACAUAGUUAUCAAAGUUAGAAAUGAACGCACACCCUCUUUCCCCCACUAUUUUGUCAGCCCCUUCGAAAGCAGGUGGUAAACAUGUGUGUUCCAUGUAAGUACUUAGUCAACAGCAAUAACAACAAUAUGGGAAUAAACACUUCAUUAAACAUAACCAACGUACCUUUUCGUCCCUUACUCCACCAUCGUUCUCCCAUGAUUCCAAAGAGUCCCCAUGGGGUUUGAAUUUGUGUUUGCUAAACGUGCCUCCCAUUCUUAUGGGUAUCUUGGAUGAUUAGGUAUAGAAUAUAGAUGGAUCUAUGUAACAAGCAGAAGGCAAAGAAUUCCUAACGACGUCGAAGGAUUUCUGAAAUGAACAAAACAAUAUGUUAUUAAAAUAAAGGUCCACUUAUACGUAAUAUCAUAUUUUGUUUUCUUAAAAAAAAGACCUGCAUACUUCAAAUACCUAUAUUUGCAUAUGAAUAAUCAAUUUAAACAUGAUAAAUAUCAUUGCUUUACGAUAAGAACGACCACAUCCAUGUCAAUAGUAGUGUGUUUAUUUAAUUCUGUUUAUUAGAGAGAGUCACAAAAAAUAUAUAAAAUAUUUAUUAAACUAUGUAUCUAUGUCUUUAAAUAUAUAGUUUUUGAUUUUA